AUGGCAAUUUUUUCAGAGAUGAAAGUCCAAGACAGCGAGUUCAAUUACAAUGUGCAGGUAGAUGAUGAAAGUAGAAUACGUACUCUCAUGUGGACGAAUGGACGUAGCAAAAAACAAUACCACCAUUUUGGCGAUGUGGUGACGUUUGACACCACAUACAAGACUAAUCUAUACGAUAUGCCAUUCGGUAUUUUUGUUGGCAUGAACAACCACUUUCAAAGUGUGUUGUAUGCUGGCGUGCUCAUGCGAGAUGAGACAGUCGACACUUUCAAAUGGAUUUUUGAUGAGUUUGUGAAGAUGAUGGGAGGGAAAAGACCAAUUACCAUUUUAACAGACCAAGCGAGGGCGAUGGAAGUCGCUAUUGAGGACGUAUAUCCGGAUGCAACACACAGAUGGUGCAAGUGGCACAUCCUGAAGAAGGCCAAAGAGAGCCUGGGGUCUAAUUACACCAAGAAAUCUGAUUUCAGGGCAGAAUUCCACAAAUUGGUUCACGAAAUGCUGACUAUAGAGGAGUUUGAGGACGGGUGGGCAGCGUUGCUUGAGAAGUAUUCACUGACUAAGAACACGUACCUGACGCAAAUUUACGAGACAAGGCAGAAAUGGGCCAAGCCAUACUUUGCAGGGAAAUUCCGUGCGAGGCAAACCAGCACUGGGAGGAGUGAGAGUGCCAAUCACAUGUUGAAACAGUAUGUUCCACCUUCUUGCUCAAUGAAUCUGUUUGUCAAGCAGUACAACAAGCUGCAGUUUGACCGUGAACAAGAAGAGGGGUUCCAGGAAAAAUGA
Molecule: ribosomal RNA, 783 nt
Filed under: Triticum aestivum (bread wheat)
Lineage: Eukaryota; Viridiplantae; Streptophyta; Magnoliopsida; Poales; Poaceae
Description: partial small subunit ribosomal RNA
Source: RNAcentral